GAUGAACGCUGGCGGCGUGCCUAAUACAUGCAAGUCGAGCGAACAGACGAGGAGCUUGCUCCUCUGACGUUAGCGGCGGACGGGUGAGUAACACGUGGAUAACCUACCUAUAAGACUGGGAUAACUUCGGGAAACCGGAGCUAAUACCGGAUAACAUGUUGAACCGCAUGGUUCAACAGUGAAAGACGGUCUUGCUGUCACUUAUAGAUGGAUCCGCGCCGCAUUAGCUAGUUGGUAAGGUAACGGCUUACCAAGGCAACGAUGCGUAGCCGACCUGAGAGGGUGAUCGGCCACACUGGAACUGAGACACGGUCCAGACUCCUACGGGAGGCAGCAGUAGGGAAUCUUCCGCAAUGGGCGAAAGCCUGACGGAGCAACGCCGCGUGAGUGAAGAAGGUCUUCGGACCGUAAAACUCUGUUAUUAGGGAAGAACAAAUGUGUAAGUAACUAUGCACGUCUUGACGGUACCUAAUCAGAAAGCCACGGCUAACUACGUG
This 497-nucleotide ribosomal RNA is filed under the name uncultured bacterium. RNAcentral describes it as "partial 16S ribosomal RNA". It matches the Rfam family "Bacterial small subunit ribosomal RNA", at positions 28 to 507 of the family's 1533-position model. The record is from RNAcentral.